Molecule: ribosomal RNA, 253 nt
Filed under: uncultured bacterium
Lineage: Bacteria
Description: partial 16S ribosomal RNA
Rfam family: Bacterial small subunit ribosomal RNA
Source: RNAcentral
CACGUAGGGGACGAGCGUUGUCCGGAUUCAUUGGGCGUAAAGCGCGCGUAGGCGGCUCGGAAAGUCGGGCGUGAAAUGCCGGGGCUCAACCCCGGGACUGCGUCCGAUACUUCCGGGCUGGAGGUAGGUAGGGGAGAUCGGAAUUCCUGGUGUAGCGGUGAAAUGCGCAGAUAUCAGGAGGAACACCGGUGGCGAAGGCGGAUCUCUGGGCCUUACCUGACGCUGAGGCGCGAAAGCUAGGGGAGCGAACAGG